CAGUAGCCGCGGUAAUACGAAGGGGGCUAGCGUUGCUCGGAAUGACUGGGCGUAAAGGGCGCGUAGGCGGCGGCCAAAGUCAGGCGUGAAAUUCCUGGGCUCAACCUGGGGGCUGCGCUUGAUACUUGGUUGCUUGAGUGGGGAAGAGGGUCGUGGAAUUCCCAGUGUAGAGGUGAAAUUCGUAGAUAUUGGGAAGGAACACCUGUGGCGAAAGCGGCUCACUGGACCAUUUCUGACGCUGAUGCACGAAAGCUAGGGGAGCAAACAGGAUUAGAGACCCGAGUAGUCCCUGUCUCUUAUA
This 301-nucleotide ribosomal RNA is filed under the name uncultured bacterium. RNAcentral's name for it is "partial 16S ribosomal RNA". It matches the Rfam family "Bacterial small subunit ribosomal RNA", at positions 509 to 808 of the family's 1533-position model. The record is from RNAcentral.